This 227-nucleotide ribosomal RNA is filed under the name uncultured bacterium. RNAcentral describes it as "partial 16S ribosomal RNA". It matches the Rfam family "Bacterial small subunit ribosomal RNA", at positions 118 to 345 of the family's 1533-position model. The record is from RNAcentral.
UGAGCAACCUGCCCUUGACCCUGGAAUAACAGCUGGAAACAGCUGCUAAUACCGGAUACGACCUCCGAUGGCAUCAUCUGGAGGUGGAAAGCUCCGACGGUCAAGGAUGGGCUCGCGGCCUAUCAGCUUGUUGGUGAGGUAACGGCUCACCAAGGCUUCGACGGGUAGCUGGCCUGAGAGGGCGACCGGCCACACUGGGACUGAGAUACAGCCCAGAUCCGUACGGG